GACAACGCUGGCGGCGUGCUUAACACAUGCAAGUCGAACGGAGUUACGUAUGAAGUAUUUCGGUACGGACUACAUAACUUAGUGGCGAACGGGUGAGUAACACGUGGGCAACCUGCCCUUAACCGGGGGAUAACAUUGUGAAAACAGUGCUAAUACCGCAUAACAGAGUAUCGGGCAUCCGAUAUUUUUAAAAGGAGCAAUCCGGUUUAGGAUGGGCCCGCGUCCAAUUAGCUAGUUGGUGAGGUAACGGCUCACCAAGGCUACGAUUGGUAGCCGAACUGAGAGGUUGAUCGGCCACAUUGGGACUGAGACACGGCCCAGACUCCUACGGGAGGCAGCAGUGGGGAAUAUUGGGCAAUGGGCGAAAGCCUGACCCAGCGACGCCGCGUGAAGGAUGAAGGUCUUCGGAUUGUAAACUUCUUUGAUCAGGGAAGAAAGAAAUGACGGUACCUGAAGAACAAGCCACGGCUAACUACGUG
RNAcentral lists this ribosomal RNA (479 nucleotides) under uncultured bacterium. RNAcentral describes it as "bacterial SSU rRNA". It matches the Rfam family "Bacterial small subunit ribosomal RNA", at positions 32 to 507 of the family's 1533-position model. The record is from RNAcentral.